RNAcentral lists this long non-coding RNA (1415 nucleotides) under Crocodylus porosus (Australian saltwater crocodile). RNAcentral describes it as "lncRNA (ENSCPRG00005013999.1)". Lineage: Eukaryota; Metazoa; Chordata; Crocodylia; Crocodylidae. The record is from RNAcentral.
AUGCAGCUGGAUCUUAGUGACCAGCAAGAGCACACAUCUCAGUCUGCCUCACAGCUGUUUUGUGUCCAGAGGUUUCUGAGGAUUCCCCAGCAUGGCAGAAAGCAAUCAUUGUGUGGUUGGCUACAUGGGAUCAGAUGGGACCAUCCUUCAGUUCUGCUGCUACUGCUAAUCCCUACUGCUACCAUGCCCUCCUACUGCUACCCUACUGCUGCCACCAAGCCUGCAAAAGGACCUGUACAUGAGUCUUGCCCUCCUGCUGGCCAUAUCCACCCAGCAUUGGGAGUGCACAGCCAUGAUUAUGUGGCAAAUGGACAGUUACAGCUCAUGUGUGGCAACUUGACUUUAAAAGUCUGCAAAAUGAGUGAGACUGGGCAUUUCAUGGGGAAGAGGACCAUGCACUUGCUGGAUUUCACAGAAAGGCACAAUCAUGGAUAUGUCCAUCUCUUCCUCUCUGGCAGAAAUAUCUGCCCCAAAGAGGUGUUGGCUAUAGCACAACACAGCGUGUCUGGGUCACUGUGGUAGUACCUCCAAACAAAGGAAUAGUGUUUCUGGUCCAUGGAAAUAAGCUGUGACUAGUGGAAGCUAAUCCUCUUGGCCAUCUGAGACAAACUUUCAAAUACCCCAUCUGACCUUCAUGGAAAUCUGUGAUAAGUUAGCCCCUUGUCUUGAGCAGCAGACUACCAGGAUGAGGGUCCCUUGACCAUGAAAAAGCACAUUGCCACUGCACUAUGGAAGCUCACUGGCCUCUGGUCUGUGGCCAACCAGUUCAGAGUUGGUAAGUCCACAGUAGGAUCAGUGGUGUGCAAGGUGUGUCUGGUGAUCCAGCAGGUGAUGACCCUAUGGAUCAUACACCUUGCCAACACACAGAGGGUCAUAGCCAGUUUCACUUACCCAGGAUUCCUGAAUUGUGUUGGGGCUGUUGAUGAUCACACACACACACACACACACACACACACACACACACACACACACACACACACACACACACACACACACACACACACACACACACCAUUCUUUCCCUCUAUGCACUGAGGCCAGAACUUUUUCUCACAGGCUGCAGUGUACCACCAGGCAGGGCUGGUUCACACAUGUCAAUGUCAGCUAGUCAGUGGCAUGCAGGGCAGGGAGGCUGGGUGUGUAGGCAUCCCCUCACUUUAUUUUCCUGAUCACAUGUUUCCUAUUAAACUUUGUCAACCAACAUUGACAGGCAGUGGCAGGGUAUGAGUGGUGGGAGGUGGAGACACAGUGGAGGGGGACAGCAAAUCAUGAAAUCCCUCCUUGCACUGGAGCCCAAUAGUUACAGCCCAAUCAUUUCUCUAGCUGAAGAGGCUGCCCUUGCCUCUCCAUUGACUACUGGCAAGCAGCUUGCAUGCUGGGGUUCUUAGCACCUUGUAAGCAGAAUGGGCUCCUUU